This 492-nucleotide ribosomal RNA is filed under the name uncultured bacterium. RNAcentral's name for it is "partial 16S ribosomal RNA". It matches the Rfam family "Bacterial small subunit ribosomal RNA", at positions 29 to 507 of the family's 1533-position model. The record is from RNAcentral.
AGUGAACGCUGGCGGUAGGCCUAACACAUGCAAGUCGAACGGCAGCACAGUAAGAGCUUGCUCUUACGGGUGGCGAGUGGCGGACGGGUGAGGAAUACAUCGGAAUCUACUUUUUCGUGGGGGAUAACGUAGGGAAACUUACGCUAAUACCGCAUACGACCUACGGGUGAAAGCAGGGGAUCUUCGGACCUUGCGCGAUUGAAUGAGCCGAUGUCGGAUUAGCUAGUUGGCGGGGUAAAGGCCCACCAAGGCGACGAUCCGUAGCUGGUCUGAGAGGAUGAUCCGCCACACUGCAACUGAAACACGGUCCAGACUCCUACGGGAGGCAGCAGUGGGGAAUAUUGGACAAUGGGCGCAAGCCUGAUCCAGCCAUACCGCGUAGGUGAAGAAGGCCUUCUGGUUGUAAAGCCCUUUUGUUGGGAAAGAAAAGCAGCAGGUUAAUACCCCGCUGUUCUGACGGUACCCAAAGAAUAAGCACCGGCUAACUUCGUG